RNAcentral lists this ribosomal RNA (792 nucleotides) under Ribes rubrum phytoplasma. RNAcentral's name for it is "bacterial SSU rRNA". It matches the Rfam family "Bacterial small subunit ribosomal RNA", at positions 424 to 1229 of the family's 1533-position model. Lineage: Bacteria; Bacillati; Mycoplasmatota; Mollicutes; Acholeplasmatales; Acholeplasmataceae. The record is from RNAcentral.
UGUAAAGUUCUUUUAUUAAAGAAGAAAAAAUGAUGGAAAAAUCAUUCUGACGGUAUUUAAUGAAUAAGCCCCGGCUAACUAUGUGCCAGCAGCUGCGGUAAUACAUGGGGGGCAAGCGUUAUCCGGAUUUAUUGGGCGUAAAGGGUGUGUAGGCGGUUUAAUAAGUCUAUGGUAUAAGUUCAACGCUUAACGUUGUGAUGCUAUGGAAACUGUUUGACUAGAGUUGGAUAGAGGCAAGUGGAAUUCCAUGUGUAGCGGUAAAAUGCGUAAAUAUAUGGAGGAACACCAGUAGCGAAGGCGGCUUGCUGGGUCUUAACUGACGCUGAGGCACGAAAGCGUGGGGAGCAAACAGGAUUAGAUACCCUGGUAGUCCACGCCGUAAACGAUGAGUACUAAGUGUUGGGUUAAACCAGUGCUGAAGUUAACACAUUAAGUACUCCGCCUGAGUAGUACGUACGCAAGUAUGAAACUUAAAGGAAUUGACGGGACUCCGCACAAGCGGUGGAUCAUGUUGUUUAAUUCGAAGAUACACGAAAAACCUUACCAGGUCUUGACAUACUCUGCAAAGCUAUAGAAAUAUAGUGGAGGUUAUCAGGGAUACAGGUGGUGCAUGGUUGUCGUCAGCUCGUGUCGUGAGAUGUUGGGUUAAGUCCCGCAACGAGCGCAACCCUUAUCGCUAGUUACCAUCAUUUAGUUGGGCACUUUAGUGAGACUGCCAAUGAUAAAUUGGAGGAAGGUGGGGAUUACGUCAAAUCAUCAUGCCCCUUAUGACCUGGGCUACAAACGGAUCAA